RNAcentral lists this ribosomal RNA (253 nucleotides) under uncultured bacterium. RNAcentral's name for it is "partial 16S ribosomal RNA". It matches the Rfam family "Bacterial small subunit ribosomal RNA", at positions 524 to 776 of the family's 1533-position model. The record is from RNAcentral.
GACGAACCGUGCGAACGUUGUUCGGAUUCACUGGGCUUAAAGGGCGCGUAGGCGGCUUGCCAAGUCAGGGGUGAAAUCUUUCGGCUUAACCGGAAAAGUGCCUUUGAUACUGGCGAGCUAGAGGGAGGUAGGGGUGCGUGGAACUUCUGGUGGAGCGGUGAAAUGCGUAGAUAUCAGAAGGAACGCCGGUGGCGAAAGCGACGCACUGGAUCUCUACUGACGCUGAGGCGCGAAAGCUAGGGUAGCGAACGGG